Non-coding RNA from Chelonoidis abingdonii (Abingdon island giant tortoise), 94 nucleotides. The record is from RefSeq and is a predicted model, not a curated record. Lineage: Eukaryota; Metazoa; Chordata; Testudines; Testudinidae.
AGAUCUGCUCUAGGCAUUAUUUUGGGGAACUUCUGUGGCCUUGUUAUACAGGAGGUCAGACUAAAUGAUAUCAGUGGCCCUUUCUCUUGCAAUC